AUUCUGCUGCUGCUGCUGUGUGCAAUGACACCUCCCAGCCCCAUCCCCACCUGUGGGGCUGCGUGGGGCCAUACAGGGAUGUAUGGGGUUGUGUGGGGCCAUACAGGGCUGCAUAGGACCAUACAGGGCUGUAGGGGCUGCAUGGGGCCAUACAGGGCUCUAUGGGGCUGCAUAGGACCAUACAGGGCUGUAGGGGCUGCAUGGGGCCAUACAGGGCUCUAUGGG
This is a long non-coding RNA of Tympanuchus pallidicinctus (lesser prairie-chicken), 225 nucleotides long. RefSeq lists it as uncharacterized. Lineage: Eukaryota; Metazoa; Chordata; Aves; Galliformes; Phasianidae. The record is from RefSeq and is a predicted model, not a curated record. The transcript is spliced from 3 exons.